Molecule: ribosomal RNA, 775 nt
Filed under: uncultured Neocallimastigales
Lineage: Eukaryota; Fungi; Neocallimastigomycota; Neocallimastigomycetes; Neocallimastigales
Description: partial large subunit ribosomal RNA
Rfam family: Eukaryotic large subunit ribosomal RNA
Source: RNAcentral
ACUAGAGUAGCACUCGCAUAUCAAUAAGCGGAGGAAAAGAAACUAACAAGGAUUCCCCUAGUAACGGCGAGUGAAGCGGGAAGAGCUCAAAUUUGAAAUCUUAAAGGGUUUCCCUUUACGAAUUGUAGUUUAAAGAAGUGUUUUCUGUUGAGGUUUUGGUAAAAGUUCUUUGGAAUAGGGACAUCAUAGAGGGUGAGAAUCCCGUAUUUGACCUUUACUUUCAACUUUGUGAUACACUUUCAAAGAGUCGGAUUGUUUGGGAAUGCAGUCCAAAAUGGGUGGUAAAUUUCAUCUAAAGCUAAAUAUUGGCGAGAGACCGAUAGCGAACAAGUACCGCUGAGGGAAAGAUGAAAAGAACUUUGAAAAGAGAGUUAAACAGUACGUGAAAUUGUCAAAAGGGAAGCGUUUGACACCAGUGUUGUUUUUCUGAAAAUCAAUUAAAGAACUGUUUAUGCUAAGCUGUUUAGACUUUAUCAGCUAUCUGUUUAGUUUUGAGCUCUUCUUUAAUGCACUUUUCAGUUAACAAGUCAACAUCAAUUUCUUUUGCUGUAAAAAAGCUUAAGGAAGGUGGCUUGAGAUUCGUCUUAAGUGUUUAUAGCCUCUUGCCUAUGCAGUCGGAGAGAUUGAGGUCUGCAGCGUAGAUCCUUCGGGGCUAAAUGCAUUUGUGCUAAGUUAUAGCAUUUUAUAGACAACUUGCUGACUAUGAUUUGUCUUGUAGCUUACUCGCUUAUGUUAUUUUACCUACGCUUAGGAUGUUGAGUCAUCACACAUCUCU